CGACCGCCCGCAGCAGAAACCGCCUCCCACCGGCGCAAUUUCCCCCAGAAAAACGGAGGACAGUGUCUUUAUUACGCUUUAUCGCGCUAUCGCCCGUCCUUAAACUGAACGCGGCGCGUCCGAGCGCGCCUUCGGCUCCUCCACCAUGCUCCCGCCGUGACCUGGACGCGGCUCUGCGGACGUGCGAGGCGGACAAAGUGAAAUGCAUCACCGGGACGCUGAACCUGUUCCAUCCCGCACACAAAGCCUGUGGUAGCAGGCCGUGUUUUUCUCCUCUAGCGGACUGCGCGCCGAUGAUGCUCAAACAUGUCGGGGAACCACUACAAGGGCCACGAAGUCAGCUGCUGCAUCAAAUACUUCAUUUUCGGAUUCAACAUCCUGUUCUGGCUUCUGGGCAUGGCCUUGGUUGGAAUAGGACUGUGGGCAUGGAGUGAGAAGGGGGUCUUGUCCAACCUCUCGUCCAUCACGGACCUGGGGGGUCUGGACCCGGUCUGGCUCUUCAUGGUGGUCGGGGGGGUCAUGUUCAUUCUGGGCUUCGCCGGAUGCAUCGGCGCCCUGCGGGAAAACACCUUCCUCCUCAAGUUUUUCUCCGUGUUCCUGGGCAUCAUCUUCUUCCUGGAGCUGACGACAGGAAUCCUGGCGUUUGUCUUCAAGGACUGGAUUAAAGACCAGCUCAACCUGUUCAUUAACAACAACAUCAGAGCGUACAGGGACGACAUUGAUCUUCAGAACCUCAUCGAUUUCACUCAGGAAUACUGGGAGUGCUGUGGGGCGUUUGGGGCCGACGACUGGAAUCUCAACAUCUACUUCAACUGCACCGACGGGAAUCCCAGUCGGGAGAAGUGCGGGGUCCCCUUCUCCUGCUGCACCAAGGACCCGGCGGAGGACGUGAUAAACACUCAGUGCGGAUACGACGUCCGCGCUAAACCAGACUCGGAGCAGAAGGACUACAUCAACGUCAAAGGCUGCGUGCCCCAGUUUGAGAAGUGGCUCCAGGACAACCUGACGCUGGUGGCCGGCAUCUUCAUCGGCGUGGCGCUGCUGCAGAUCUUUGGAAUUUGCUUGGCCCAAAACUUAGUGAGCGACAUCGAGGCCGUGCGGGCGAGCUGGGUGCCCCCCCCUCUCUCCGUGCGUCGACUCCCACCACACUACAGCAAGAAAGCGUCGGCUUACCGCUCAUGAGAAGCUCACACACACACGCGCGCUGUCUGUGUGCUUGUGGCCGUUUCUUCACCUAAUCCUGAAGCAGCAGUUCAACUCUUAACAGACUCGGAUCGCGCCUCCUUGAACACGUCAGCCGGCGGAGGACAACACUGAUCACCUGCACGUCAAGUUCACCGAACCAGCACCUUCUCUAGCACUAACGAGUGGAAGCUCUGUAUAUAACACUGCUGUCAAAGGCCAGGCGUCGGGGAGGACGAUUAGACACGUGCUACAUGCAGAUCAUCACAGCGCACCGGUUUUAAUAGCGACAUGUAGAAAUUAGAGGUUUUGAUACUGCUUUUUAAUAUUAGAUCUGUAUUUUUCACUGUGGAAACGAUCCGAUCCGUUGCUCAACCCGUCACACAGGACUGAGAACUAUCCUACGCCACAAACCAAGGAACUCCUUCCAAAGCUCAGCACAGAAGAAGCUUUUAGAGUCGCAAGCGUCACGGAAACGAGCAGGUCCCAAGACACAGUCGCUGGUUUUAGUCCAAAGCUGGAUGAGUUAGAAUUAAAGAAGCACUCAGACCCAACGUCCUGACCACUCACAGGUGAAGUGAGUGACACUCAAUGCCCCAUCGUGGCACCUGUUAGUGGCUGGGACUCAUGAGACACAGCUGAUGCGUUAGAAGCUGAAACACGGAGUAGGAGGGGGGAUUUGAGCCGUCACUAAAACUAACUCAUCCAGCUGUGAAGCGACGUUUACUCAAACAUCACACUGAGGGAAACUGCUCGCUGCUGUCACGUCGCACUUAUGGUCGCACACGUCUGAACCGAGUUGGAACUAAUCCCCGCGCUUUUCGUGACGCGGCGCUGAAGAUGUUUACGGACUCGCACGUUUAACACAGUAAAAGAACGUCCGUCCCGGCUGCGAAACGACGGCUCGAACCUUAAGGAACUCCAAGGAACCAUGUCUGUGCCACAGCUCGUCCAAGUCCACGUGAAGCAGGACUGACUUGGCUGCGAUCACAUUGCUAAUCCUGCAGUGUAGCGUAAAGAGUAGACAACACACUGUCCUAGAAAAAAACGAGUCAUUUCAUUAAAAAAGUUGUACAGAUAUUAGUUAAUUUCUUUAACAGCAGUUUUAUAAUAUACGGUAAUAGAUCAUUUUCAAAACACUAAUUCAGACUUCUUUGAGCUCUGAAUUCUGAGAUUAGGGUCAGAAGUGAUUAGUUUUUUAACGCUGGCCCUCAUCCUCUUUUGUACGUUACUGUACUUUUAAAGAGGUUUUUAUUUUUAUAGGGUCAAAGGUUUGGAAAAUGACCUUGAUUUUGUAGGUGAAUCAUUUCUUUCACAGACUCGGAGGCCUCGUCCUCUUCACAAGUUCCCUCAUUGUUGCACUUCAGAUAAAGCACAUGUGUCUUUCACUGUGUGAUCUCAUCAGAACACAUGGAAUUUAAAUAUAUCUUAGGUUUUGAAUUUAGUCCAGAGAUGAAAUCUCACAUUUAAUGAAGUGUUGGUGUCUUUUUUUCAGUCUGUUUUUAUUUUGGUGGUUUCAAGUGAUUCCUUUUGUCCAAGGCGUGCGUCACUGGUCCUGUUGUUGUCGCUUGGUCGAGCAUCCACUGUAACGUCUGUCGCCUCACGCCGUUCAGACGAGCUGAGCUGGUUCAAAGGGAUAAACGAUGUCUUUCUGACGUGUGAUAUUUAUUGACGUGAUUUCUGCACUACUGAUCAUGAUUUGUCGACAUCUCCAGAGUCUGGCUGGUUUGGAGGCUGUGACUCGCGUGGAGCAUUAAGCAGACACUGAACCUGAGGUAGAACCAUGAUACAUGUCCAACAAUGAUUUCCCUGAGGGAUGAAGAAAGUUGUUACUGAGAUUUAUAGAUUAAUGUCCACAGUAUUUCCUAAACGUUGUAUGUAACUACCUCCUCCCCUUUUCUUGUUUCAUGUCUCACUGAAAUUUGACUGGUUUUAAUAACAGUACAAUUAAUUAAUAAAGUUGAUAAAAAUGCUA
RNA transcript from Betta splendens (Siamese fighting fish), 3157 nucleotides. It is a transcript of the gene named tetraspanin 5a, with no coding region annotated. The transcript has 11 exons. The record is from RefSeq and is a predicted model, not a curated record. Lineage: Eukaryota; Metazoa; Chordata; Actinopteri; Anabantiformes; Osphronemidae.